Molecule: transfer RNA, 73 nt
Organism: Camelus ferus (Wild Bactrian camel)
Lineage: Eukaryota; Metazoa; Chordata; Mammalia; Artiodactyla; Camelidae
Rfam family: tRNA
About the family: Transfer RNA (tRNA) molecules are approximately 80 nucleotides in length. Their secondary structure includes four short double-helical elements and three loops (D, anti-codon, and T loops).
Source: Rfam
GAGGGUAUAGCUCAAGUGGUAGAGUGUAUGCUUAGCAUGCAUGAGGUCCUGGGUUCAAUCCCCAGUAUCUCCA